CUCAUUUUUUCCCUCACAGAAACGCUGCCUUUCCCCACUCUCUCUCCUAAACCCUCAGUCCCUCUCUCUCCUCUCCAUGACUCUGCCUCCUCUCUCUCUCUCCUAAACCCUCGGUCGCUCUCUCCUCUCCAUGACUGCUAUGCUGCUAAAAAGUUGAUGCUUCUCCUCCAUCGAAGAUUUGAGAAUAUUGCCGACUCGCAACUAGGAAGGAGUGGCGGUGGCGUGAAAAAACGGAGGAUUUUGCAAUGGAAGGGAUAAUCGGAGUCGUAGAAAGAAGGUGAUGAUAUUGGCGGUGGAAACAUCGUUGAAGCUGCUGGCGUUGCCUCCUUUUCAUCGUCGUAAUCAACCGCGCGCCGGCGUCGCUUCUUUCUUCUACUUCAGGUUUUCAUUGUUUUUAGGUUUUUGAGUAGAUCGAAUAAACGAAUUGCCGACCGUUUCUUGGUGGAAGUGGUGGUUGUAGAAGCGACAGUUAGGUCGCCAUUGAGGAGAGGCUUCGUCGUUGGAGAUGAGCAGAGGACAAGGAAGAGGAAGUGAAGGAGAGCCGCCGCUGUUGAGCAUUCGCCUCCUUUGAUUUCGAUUCGAAGUCGCCCCAUGAUGCUGGAGGUUGCAGUGCUCGGGAUUACGUGCUCGGUGCUACUCAUGUUGACAGUGGAGAUGGUGGUGGAGAAAUAUUACAUCGGUGAAGGAAGGAGGAGAGCCGCGGGGAUUAGGGGCGGCGAUUACAUCAUAAUUUGAUGUUUGAGCAGCGACAAGUUUUGGUGGUGGAGCCGCUUCCGCCGGCGAAGAGAUCUUGGAACAAGUUCAAGCGCGACUCUUGAGCGCCAUGAAGGAGGUUGGGCUUUUGAUGCAUCAACACCAGUAGAUUCAUCGUCACCAUCGACGAACACCCUCAGAUUCAUCGACGACGGCCGCAGAACCAUAAUCUGUUCUCGCUCCUCUACUCUGCUGCUGCCAUUGUUUAUUCGCGUGGUGGCCGUUGUCGGUGGUGGUGGCCGUUGUGUUUCACAGCCGCGAUGAGUGGAAGCGCUGCCUGUUGUUGGGUGCAAAAAUAGUAAAGAAAUAUAAUUUAAUUUCCAAAUUUGUAUUGGAAAUGUAAACAAUUUUAUUCAUUUAUAUUAGUCAGGAUUAAAUUGGUUUUAGUUAAGAAUAACUUCAUUUUAGUUACAUUUUUGUUAUAUUUAGUUAAGAGUAUUUUCGUUUUAGUUAAAAAUAAUUUCGUUUUAGCUAUAAUUAAAUUCGUAUUAGUUUGAAAUAA
This is a long non-coding RNA of Spinacia oleracea (spinach), 1255 nucleotides long. RefSeq lists it as uncharacterized. The record is from RefSeq and is a predicted model, not a curated record. Lineage: Eukaryota; Viridiplantae; Streptophyta; Magnoliopsida; Caryophyllales; Amaranthaceae. The transcript is spliced from 4 exons.